AUUUAAAGAGUGCGUAAUAGCUCACUAGUCGAGUGAUUCUGCGCCGAAAAUGUACCGGGGCUAAGCAUAUUACCGAAACUGUGGAUGUGCACUAUGUGCACGUGAUAGGAGAGCGUUCUAAGGGCGGCGAAGUCAGACCAUGAGGACUGGUGGAGCGCUUAGAAGUGAGAAUGCCGGUAUGAGUAGCGAAAGACAGGUGAGAAUCCUGUCCACCGAAUGACUAAGGUUUCCUGGGGAAGGCUCGUCCUCCCAGGGUAAGUCGGGACCUAAGCCGAGGCCGAGAGGCGUAGGCGAUGGAUAACAGGUUGAGAUUCCUGUACCAGUUAACUGCGUUUGACGAUGGAGGGACGCAAGAGGCUAAGCAAACCGUACGACUGGAAGAGUACGGCCAAGCAGUAAGUCAGGAUGUGAGUCAAAUGUUUACAUCCGUGUUGACAAGCUGUGAUGGGGAGCGAAAUUAAAGUAGCGAAGUUGCCGAUGUCACA
Molecule: ribosomal RNA, 485 nt
Filed under: Limosilactobacillus reuteri
Lineage: Bacteria; Bacillati; Bacillota; Bacilli; Lactobacillales; Lactobacillaceae
Description: bacterial LSU rRNA
Rfam family: Bacterial large subunit ribosomal RNA
Source: RNAcentral